Molecule: long non-coding RNA, 878 nt
Filed under: Homo sapiens (human)
Lineage: Eukaryota; Metazoa; Chordata; Mammalia; Primates; Hominidae
Description: HSALNT0362254
Source: RNAcentral
GCAAUGCUGGAGUUAAAUUCUAAGAAUGUAGAACACUCACUCAAGAUCUUCCUUUAUUCCUGCCCACUUUGUCACAGGCAGAACAACGUAGGAGUGGAGAUGUGAUCUCCAGAGCCACACUGUCUCGUUCGAAUCCUGGCCCCAUUGCAAACUAUCUGGAAUGCCUGAGUUUUGUCAAGCCCAUGGCCACCCAGCCAGUGACUACAUUUCCCGGUUUCCUGUAUAGCUAGGCAUAGCCAUGUGACGAAAUUCUGGCCAAUGGAAUGCCACUGUGAAGAGAAUGAAACUGAAAUAUGUAGAACAUUCUCGGCCUCUCUGAGGAUGGGUGGAAUCAGAACAGAGUAAUUACCCCUUGUGCUGUCUUGUAUGCCUGUCAUCCAACAACACAUGAUGUUCAUUCUCUCCAUUCUUUUCUUGCAAUACUGAUGAAAUAAAAUUUGUCUAUAAAGAUUCCUAGCUGAGUACUCAAAUGUUUUUCUUGAACAUUUGUUACAUGGUCUACUUUGCAAGCUUGGUUUCAAAUUUGUUGAUACCAGGAUUAAUAACAGUAUGUCUUGUGCCAGUAUAUUUUAUUUUCAUUGAGUUCUGAAAAUUGACUUCAGAGAACAGCAUUUUUAAAAUAACAUUUUUAUUUAUAUCAAUAAAAAUACCCAUGAAUUCAUAUGACUAAAAUAUUAAAACCUAGAACCCAAUUUGUUUACCUAACCAAUCACUUGCAAUUACCUUUAGGUAAUUGUAUUGGUUUGGUUUCAAGUAUUUUUUAACUAGGGCUGAUUUUAAGAAGUGUUUUCAUUUAAGCUGUAAUUAUAGUCGAUAGAACUUCCACCUAAUAUGUGACUUUUUUUAAUUUUUAAUUUUUUUGAGAUGAAGCCUCACUC